AAUGAACGCUGGCGGCAGGCCUAACACAUGCAAGUCGAACGGAUCCUUCGGGAUUAGUGGCGGACGGGUGAGUAACGCGUGGGAACAUACCCUUUGGUACGGAAUAGCCUCGGGAAACUGGGAGUAAUACCGUAUGUGGUCGAGAGACGAAAGAUUUAUCGCCAAAGGAUUGGCCCGCGUUGGCUUAGGUAGUUGGUGGGGGUAUGGCCUACCAAGCCGACGAUCCAUAGCUGGUUGUGGAGGAUGAUCAGCCACACUGGGACUGAGACACGGCCCAGACUCCUACGGGAGGGAGCAGUGGGGAAUCUUAGACAAUGGGGGAAACCCUGAUCUAGCCAUGCCGCGUGAUCGAUGAAGGCCUUAGGGUUGUAAAGAUCUUUCAGGUGGGAAGAUAAUGACUGUACCACCAGAAGAAGCCCCGGCUAACUCCGUGCCAGCCGCCGCAGUAA
This 449-nucleotide ribosomal RNA is filed under the name uncultured bacterium. Its description in RNAcentral is "partial 16S ribosomal RNA". It matches the Rfam family "Bacterial small subunit ribosomal RNA", at positions 29 to 523 of the family's 1533-position model. The record is from RNAcentral.